UUGAUAUUAAACCAGAACUGAUCACUUUUUGUGGUAAUGACGAGUAACAGACUCCGCCUCCUGACACUGACUCCAUAAAGCUGCUGUGCUAUCAGAUCUGACUCUACUUCAUUAAAAUGAGAGGACUGAUAGUGCUGUGUUUGGUGGGUCUCAUCCUUGCUGCCUCGUUGCCUAAAGGAGGCACAGCCACGCUUGAGCCGCAGAAAGAUGAAAAACCAAAACCCCCUUGGAAUCCAGGUGAUUGGCAUCCUUUUCAAAGUACAGGUGGUUUCAAACCUGGACCAACUGAUGGAACUGUGACUGAGGGAGAUCAAAAAUGACAGCAGACAGACAGACGAGCUGAGCAGAUGUCAACAUGUUGACAGAGAUGACAUUUCCAUUUAUCUGCUGGUGUUCCUGCCUCCUUCAAAUAAACAUGUCAAGUCUGU
This is a long non-coding RNA of Notolabrus celidotus (New Zealand spotty), 428 nucleotides long. RefSeq lists it as uncharacterized. The transcript has 4 exons. The record is from RefSeq and is a predicted model, not a curated record. Lineage: Eukaryota; Metazoa; Chordata; Actinopteri; Labriformes; Labridae.